AUUGAACGCUGGCGGCAUGCUUUACACAUGCAAGUCGAACGGUAACAGGCCUUCGGGUGCUGACGAGUGGCGAACGGGUGAGUAAUGCAUCGGAACGUACCCAGAGGUGGGGGAUAACGCAGCGAAAGCUGUGCUAAUACCGCAUGUGAUCUGAGGAUGAAAGCGGGGGACCGAGCAGCAAUGUUUGGCCUCGCGCCUUUGGAGCGGCCGAUGUCGGAUUAGCUAGUUGGUGGGGUAAAGGCCUACCAAGGCGACGAUCCGUAGCUGGUCUGAGAGGACGAGCAGCCACACUGGGACUGAGACACGGCCCAGACUCCUACGGGAGGCAGCAGUGGGGAAUUUUGGACAAUGGGCGCAAGCCUGAUCCAGCAAUGCCGCGUGCGGGAAGAAGGCCUUCGGGUUGUAAACCGCUUUUGGCAGGAACGAAACGGUGUCCGCUAAUACCGGGCGCUAAUGACGGUACCUGCAGAAUAAGCACCGGCUAACUACGUG
This 492-nucleotide ribosomal RNA is filed under the name uncultured bacterium. RNAcentral's name for it is "partial 16S ribosomal RNA". It matches the Rfam family "Bacterial small subunit ribosomal RNA", at positions 29 to 507 of the family's 1533-position model. The record is from RNAcentral.